CCACCUACGAAAAAUUACAUCAGAUUUAGGCCAAGUGCGAAUACCUCUUUCGCGAAGUGGCCACAGCGACAGAGAGUUUAGAAAUGGAGAGCCUUGAGUACAAGGAAACAACUGGCCCAUCGCCGCCUGUUCGACUGCCUCUGCAUUGUUGAAGAAAGGACCUAGAUAGAACUCAUUGAGUUCGACAUUGGCAGGCGCGAGAAAAGUCGGAGUUAUGUAUGGACGAUUCAAAAGUUUCUGAAAGUCAUCAAAAUUAAAGGAGUCGCCAGAUUGAGAUUGUGAAGUAGCCAUUAGAGAUGAAACAAAGUUUUUUCAGAGUUACGUAGCAGGAAAGCAAAAGAUGAACAGUAAAUCGUGGGAGAGAAACGCGAAAAAGUGAGGCGUGAUUUAAUGGUGCAGUGAAAUGGCGUGUUUGGGGGUUAUAAGGGUUUGCAAAACGUCGCACCUUUUCAAGCUAUGGAAGAAAACAAUGAUUGAAAUUUUUGGGAAUUUCGAAUGUUGUUGGAAACAUAAAGUGAAUAUGGCAAAAUUUAAUAAUUGGCAUUAAUUCUGCCAUAUUGGAGGGCAAUUGUUGACACAUAAAAAUUCAGCCCAAAUCGAACGGCCCAAGGAAUGAAG
Molecule: long non-coding RNA, 618 nt
Filed under: Olea europaea subsp. europaea
Lineage: Eukaryota; Viridiplantae; Streptophyta; Magnoliopsida; Lamiales; Oleaceae
Source: RNAcentral